Molecule: ribosomal RNA, 253 nt
Filed under: uncultured bacterium
Lineage: Bacteria
Description: partial 16S ribosomal RNA
Rfam family: Bacterial small subunit ribosomal RNA
Source: RNAcentral
UACGAAGGGGGCUAGCGUUGCUCGGAAUGACUGGGCGUAAAGGGCGCGUAGGCGGACUGCACAGUCAGGCGUGAAAUUCCUGGGCUUAACCUGGGGACUGCGUCUGAGACGUGUGAUCUAGAGUGAGGAAGAGGGUCGUGGAAUUUCCAGUGUAGAGGUGAAAUUCGUAGAUAUUGGAAAGAACACCGGUGGCGAAGGCGGCGACCUGGUCCUUGACUGACGCUGAGGCGCGAAAGCCAGGGGAGCGAACGGG